Pseudonaja textilis is the source of this 156-nucleotide non-coding RNA. Lineage: Eukaryota; Metazoa; Chordata; Lepidosauria; Squamata; Elapidae. The record is from RefSeq and is a predicted model, not a curated record.
GGCCCCAUGGAAGUCUGACAACAGCCAAUAGAAGACAUGUUCUUGCACAGGAACAGGAAAUUCAAGUGCAAAGCCCAAGAGAAGGUAUAGAAACUGCCCACUCUCAACACCAUGUGGUCAGCUCCACCAGAACCACAAACCCAUGUGGUUUUGCUU